RNAcentral lists this unclassified non-coding RNA (267 nucleotides) under Hevea brasiliensis (rubber tree). Lineage: Eukaryota; Viridiplantae; Streptophyta; Magnoliopsida; Malpighiales; Euphorbiaceae. The record is from RNAcentral.
AGUUACCAGCAAGGACCUUGCCACGCUCCAGCUUCAUACGAUAUCGUUGAGAAGAAAUGCAUGGGGAAGCAGAGAUGUACAGUCACCAUAUCCAACAGUAACUUUGGCCAAGAUCCAUGUCCAAAUGUUUUGAAGCGAUUGUCUGUUGAAGCUAUCUGUGCUCCAAAUAAUUUGAGGGGUUAAUUAGGGAAAAAUUUGAGAAAAUGCUAAUUUAUAUUGCAUCUAGUAAUUUAACUACACAUUACCAGCAGAAGAAGCAAGCAAGAA